RNAcentral lists this transfer RNA (34 nucleotides) under Psathyrostachys juncea. RNAcentral describes it as "partial tRNA-Thr". The record is from RNAcentral. Lineage: Eukaryota; Viridiplantae; Streptophyta; Magnoliopsida; Poales; Poaceae.
GCCCACUUAGCUCAGAGGUUAGAGCAUCGCAUUU